RNAcentral lists this ribosomal RNA (4003 nucleotides) under Triticum aestivum (bread wheat). RNAcentral's name for it is "partial small subunit ribosomal RNA". Lineage: Eukaryota; Viridiplantae; Streptophyta; Magnoliopsida; Poales; Poaceae. The record is from RNAcentral.
GCCAGGGCGUACAGUCGCCGCCGUGGCGUGGCGCAGUGAAAAGUGGCGGGCGUCCUUUUGGUCGGAAGAGGGCGGGCGGAAUAACCGAGCGACAGAGGUGGUGAGGAGAGGGGAGCGGCAGCUGGCCGGCUGGCUGGCUCUACCGCGGCCGGCGCGCAGAGGCGGAGGAGCGGAGUACGGCGGAGAAGAGCCGCGAAAGGCCCUGCCACGGCGCCACGGCCGCUCCAGAGGCUCCAGACUCGUGCGAGAGGAGCUGCGACCCCAGCCCGCGGCCGCUCCUGCUCUAGCUCGCGUAGGCGGCGCUCAAGCUCCUGCGGUUCGCGUUGAUGGAGUCGUAGGGGCGGCGGUAGUUCCUGUACGGGUUCUACCUGGGCGUUCCGUAAAUACACUUGUUCUUGCAGUUUGACCUGCUGGACGUUCAGAUACCGAAGCUGAUACUAAUGUGCGACAGCGUGAUGAGGCUGGUGGAAGUCACGAACUAGAUACUAGAGCGGUUCUUCGUGAACCAGUUACUCGACUUCAUAGGUCUCUCAACGAACGUCAUACUGAUGCUGUCGUCGAAAGGACAGUCCCCGGAAAUGAUACUGUUUGAUUUUCCCACGGAAGACUUCGAACUAAAGAAACCAAGAUAACUCGGGCUACCUACGAAGAAACCUGCUGCCUUCGAUUCAAGCUGACUCUAUUUUCUUGAGAUGCCGUGUUCUGUAUAGCCUUCUCUAGUUCGAGCAGUCGAACAACCCGACUACCUACAGAAGACAAAAUCGCUCCGUACGGAGUAACGUCUAUAACAAGUCGUGAAGCAUCUACGGUUCGACCUCAAACUACGAGGAAUACAUAUACUCCUACAUUUGGUUCGCUAAGUCGUACAGGUGUCUUCACCAAAUCAAGUGUCUUUUCAAGAAAGUCUCGGAGUCUUUAAAGACAAUUUUUUAUCGGUCCACAAAGCAAAGAAUUUCUGGGAUGCUCUCUUCCCCUUUUUCGACAAAGAAGAAUGGUUGAGUGGAAAGAUGAAACAACUACCUCCCUACUCAAUAAAUGAUCUCCUGGUCGUAAAACUACCCUUAAGGACCUCCCUCGAAAAACUGCAACACUAACGCGUCCGUUUAUUUGGUUCAAAGAUAUUAAGUCUGGUGGGUAAGUCCCACAUACUGUGACUUUUCCUGUGGAAUCGUAAAUGACGUCAACUGUUCAAAGACGGUUUACUUCAGAUAAUGGUACCUACAAAUUUUAGGAAAGACGUCUAAUGUUUCACCUCUCCGGGUCUCCACUAUAUGAAACCACUAGUAGAAAAGUCGCUGAACUCUCCCGGAAGGUUUCGACCAACCGCUUGUCGACGGCAUUAAGCACUUGAACUCCUACUUUAUCCUUAGGUCUUACCACUGUCGAUGGCCAAGGUUGUCCGUUUUAAUCCAUAUUAUGUACUAGAUGAACCCUUCCAAGUACGUUGACACCAAUCGUGGCUCUUUCCGGUUCAAAUGUCUUGUAACGAACUACUCAACUUACGUCUUUCCGCAGUUACAGCUAGACCGUACGCUCUAGACAAAUUAUCAAGAAAACCACGUUGUAAGGAGUGUCUGUGUCCUUUCCUUAGUAGUAAACGGAUAGUGUAAGUAGUUAUACGUCUAUAGAUGUGGUCGUUCGAACUCUUGAAGAACAGUAUACGGGGACUUAGUACCGAAGUAGGUGGAGUGCUGUAUUUCUAGUACGGUGUAUUACGUUUCCACGGUCGCUCAAACAAGUCGUGGAGUAUCAAGUGACAUAGGUAAAGAACACCUCUCGGUACCAUCACGUGAUGUCUCACCAAAAACAAACACCGGUACCCUGAGGUAUGACAGUGACGUAAGCCGAUCCAAUACUUCUUUGGUUGUGUCUAACCUAGGUUGACUUAUCCGGUCCCUCGUUUAGUUCUACACGGAUAAGAACUGACUGCAUUCUUAGUCAGAGGUUACUAGAAACGGUUGUCGUUCAUUGACUGUGAUAGAGUUACAACUCGUUAGAUGAGAACGUUAGUUACGACACGAAUGGUCUAAUAAAACUUGACCAAUAACGGUCAAAGUACUCGGAUGGGAUAUUUGUCGGGGGACGGUUUGGUUUGUAAAAAAAAGACGUCACUCGUGACUCCUAACUUGCUUGUUCUAAGUCCUGAAUAAUACAAACCUCAAGUGUCUUCUUUUAAACCUAAGGUACGUUCCCAAGAUGAACAGGAACAGAUGCUGUCCGACUAGUAGAACCAAAGGUAGCAAAGACUAGGGUCUAUUGACGACGUAAAGGUCAAGAACGACGAAGGUACUGGAUGUUCUGGACUUCCGUGUUUCACAUAGUUAAUCUAGGAAAAAAAGUAGGUAAGGCUUGACGAUGUCGACCUCAGAAUUCUGAGAAUAGGCAAGGUUUUUACGCGUAACGUUUGAGGACUUAUGUCACGUUUAGUUGUAACGAAUGGCGACGGAUUUUGGGCUAGACAAAGGUGGGUACCUCUCGUGGCGACGUCCACGUCUCGAUAUAGGUCGUAGUAGGCUCCCACUGCUUGAGUAGAAAAAAGUGCAACGUCUUCUUGUUGCUGUCUUUAGAAGAGUCUCUGAAAAAUCUGCUACUUCGAGUCUCACUACUAACUCGUCUACGAUGAACGCGCCACUUACAAAGCUUCUCCUAAUCUCUUUACAUGAGUGUUCAACUACCCUGUACCAAGCAAGACUACACGCUUGAAGUAACGGCCCCGCCGGAGAACAAGCAAGUUAGGAGUCCCGUGUGUACGUAAAGUGUUCCUUUAUGUCCUCUUGGGGCGGUUCCGUGUCGUAACGGUCCUAGAGCUAACGCUAACGGCUAGGCCAGUGACUUUCAUAAGUAGUGUCAUAUUUUUAUGUUCCUAUCCUUACCACACGGUGUGUUCGGUGUCGUGGUUUGGUUCGUGUUUCUUUGAGUGUCUACCGAGAACAACUCAAGUAACGAAAGGAAAACGAGUCGACCUGUCAGAAGAGACGAACGUUACCGGAACUGUAGUAGAGACUUGUUAGACCCAUCGUGGGUAUCAAGGGGUCCAGCAAAUGCCACUACCUAUUCGAACACCGUACCGAACCUGGUGGGACGUUCUCUUUUAGAGUAUAAAAAGAUCAAAGUUAUGGAGGUAAAUAUCGAGAGCCUGUUAGUCAGUGAAUCAAUUGGUUCUCUUAAUUUAGUACCCUACUUCUUGCUUAGCGGUUUUCUCAGGCACUUCUGCCCCACAAAUGAACCAUUUUCUCCUUUGUGGACCAUUUUCUCGGCCGCGUAACGCGACAACGUCAGUCGCUGUAGGUUCGCCUCGGACUACGGUCAAGGAGAGUUCUGGUUCACUACACGUUACCGGUGUAUCCAGACUUCGCUGACGGUGACCAAUGACGGUGGUCAGAACUCGAGACGGGACGGCUGCUCUGACCGACCGUUACAGUAGUAGUUCCAAGGAAGUUUCUGAAGGUUCCUCUCGUGAUCGUCUUCCGAUCCUUUGUAGUAGAAUGUAGAGUUUUAUUAAUUCGUCCUAUUUUUGGUAAAAGUUUAGGUACCAAAGUAUGGUUUUCUCAUUCUGUUUCGUGGACCCAUGGUUGCUUCUAGACCAAGCUGCUAACUCUUGAGUUUACCCAGAGAGACGAACAGUUUCUAAACUAUAGGUAGAGAACUAAGAAAAGGUGGGUUCUUUUAACUAAAGCCUCGGUCAUAUUGGCCUCCUAGUAACUGGCCGAGGUGCCUCUGCACAUUGAGUAGUGCUACGGAUGGUAAGGACAAGGAGCGUAUAUCGUAAUAUUGUAGUAGAGGCAUCUUCAGAACCAAAGACGUUUACUACAGUCCUAAACUCUAAGAACAUUGCGGCCGGACGAUGUUAUGAUCGUUCUAAGUCUAAGAACCGAUCAUGGGCUAUAUGACUUCUAUAAAAUCGCGAGGUAAAUAAAGGAGGUGGUGGGGAACAUAAAAGUUCCGAACCGAUCUGGACGGAUGGGACGACUAACUUUCGCAUAGUAGAUUAUCUACAACUUCA